GGGAGUGUGAUUUGGUGGGGAAGAAGGAGGGUAGAAGAGAAAAGAAAUUUCUUGGGGCUUCUGAGAUCCACCUGAUAAUAUUUGACACUGUCUUCAGGCAACAGCUCUCUACUGCCCUGAGAAUGACAUCCCCACUGUUCACCAUGGCCUUAAAUCCCCUGCAAAUUCCACCUCAUCCUCUGCCACUUCCCAUCACUGCUCUGAAGAUGCCCUGAUCUUGUUUCAGUCCCUUGGACAUACCCAGCUCUUCUCUAUCUUUGCAUGUGUCAUACCCUUCCUGCUGCUCAUCCCAGAACUGACUCUUCAUGUAUUUACUCUUAUUUUGAGAGAAGGGGGCAUUUCCACCACCAGAAGGGAACUUGCUAUCUUGGUAGCCAUUGUCCCCUGACACCUGGCACAUCUACUAUACAGAGUCACCAUUCAAGUGGAUGUUGAAUGAGUACACUUGUUUCACAGUUUGGUUGGGCAAGCCCCAAAGCUUGGUUCCCGGUAGGAUCAGGCUUUAUGAGUGGGCUGAGUUUCUAUAAAAGUCUCCCUACCAGUUUCCAAUCUUGGUGAAACUAUCUUUGUGGGCACAAAUGAGAAAACUUGCCAUCGUAUCACCAGUUACCCAGCUGUGGAC
This 622-nucleotide long non-coding RNA is filed under the name Pongo abelii (Sumatran orangutan). RNAcentral's name for it is "lincRNA". The record is from RNAcentral. Lineage: Eukaryota; Metazoa; Chordata; Mammalia; Primates; Hominidae.